This 278-nucleotide ribosomal RNA is filed under the name uncultured bacterium. RNAcentral's name for it is "partial 16S ribosomal RNA". It matches the Rfam family "Bacterial small subunit ribosomal RNA", at positions 1105 to 1382 of the family's 1533-position model. The record is from RNAcentral.
UUGUCCUGUGUUGCCAUGCCCGAAAGGGCGGAACUCGCAGGAGACCGCCAGCGAUAAGCUGGAGGAAGGUGGGGAUGACGUCAAGUCCUCAUGGCCUUUAUGUCCAGGGCUACACACGUGCUACAAUGGACGGUACAAAGCGUCGCUAACCCGCGAGGGGGAGCCAAUCGCAAAAAACCGUUCUCAGUUCGGAUUGCAGGCUGCAACUCGCCUGCAUGAAGCUGGAAUCGCUAGUAAUGGCAGAUCAGCACGCUGCCGUGAAUACGUUCCCGGGCCUU